GAUGAAGAACGUAGUGAAAUGCGAUACGUAAUGUGAAUUGCAGAAUUCAGUGAAUCAUCGAAUCUUUGAACGCAUAUUGCGCUCUCUGGUAUUCCGGAGAGCACGCUUGUUUGAGUAUCAGUAAACACCUCAACUCCCUUUUCUUUUUUGAAAUGGGAGCUGGACUUGAGUGAUCCCAACACUUUUCUCACUGGAAAGUGGCGGGUCACUUGAAAUGCAGGUGCAGCUGGACUUUUCUCUGAGCUAUAAGCAUAUCUAUUUAGUCUGCCUAAAAAACAGAUUAUUACCUUUGCUGCAGCUAACAUAAAGGAGAUGAGUUCUUGUGCUGACUGAUGCAGGAUUCACAGAGACAGCUUUGCGGCUGACUUUGUAAACUCGAUCUCAAAUCAAGUAAGACUACCCGCUGAACUUAAGCAUAUCAAUAAGCGGAGGA
Molecule: unclassified non-coding RNA, 433 nt
Filed under: soil metagenome
Description: partial contains 5.8S ribosomal RNA, internal transcribed spacer 2, and large subunit ribosomal RNA
Rfam family: 5.8S ribosomal RNA (bases 1-120)
Source: RNAcentral